RNAcentral lists this transfer RNA (54 nucleotides) under Cacopsylla fuscicella. Its description in RNAcentral is "tRNA-Ser". Lineage: Eukaryota; Metazoa; Arthropoda; Insecta; Hemiptera; Psyllidae. The record is from RNAcentral.
GGAGUCUUAGGGAAAGCUGCUAACUAUCCCAAAGCAAGUCAUUGUUAGACACCC